CCUACGGGAGGCAGCAGUAGGGAAUAUUGCUCAAUGGGGGAAACCCUGAAGCAGCAACGCCGCGUGGAGGAUGACGGUUUUAUGAUUUUAAACUCCUUUUGUUAGAGAAGAUAAUGACGGUAUCUAACGAAUAAGCACCGUCUAAAUCCGUGCCAGCAGCCGCGGUAAAACGGAGGGUGCCACCGUGACUCGGAAUCAAUGGGCGUAAAGCGUGCGUAGGCGGGUUAAUCAGUCAGAUGUGAAAUCCUAGGGCUUAACCCCGAAACUGCAUUUGAAACUGUGCAGCUAGAGUGCGGGAGAGGUAAGUGGAAUGCGUGGUGUAGCGGUGAAAUGCGUAGAUAUCAAGAGGAACACCGAUUGCGAAGGCGGCAUACUGGAGCAUAACUGACGCUGAUGCACGAAAGCGUGGGGAGCAAACAGGAUUAGAGACCCCUGUAGUC
This 440-nucleotide ribosomal RNA is filed under the name uncultured bacterium. RNAcentral's name for it is "partial 16S ribosomal RNA". It matches the Rfam family "Bacterial small subunit ribosomal RNA", at positions 338 to 795 of the family's 1533-position model. The record is from RNAcentral.